GCUUACGGCCAUACCACCCUGAACACGCCCGAUCUCGUCUGAUCUUGGAAGCUAAGCAGAGUCGGGCCUGGUCAGUACUUGGAUGGGAGACCGCCUGGGAAUACCAGGUGCUGUAAGCU
Molecule: ribosomal RNA, 119 nt
Organism: Oreochromis aureus
Lineage: Eukaryota; Metazoa; Chordata; Actinopteri; Cichliformes; Cichlidae
Source: Ensembl